UUGAUGAUUAAGAUAGAAACUUUGUGAAAGCAGAAUGAAGAAUUAUAUAUGACCAUACAUAAUGGUCAAGGAGCCGAAGUGCCUCAACCACCACAUCAAAUCGCAACAAAGAUUCCAAAUUCUUAAACGAUUAUGUCUACUUCAAACAUGGGAAGUGCAUCCACUCAAGACAAAGAUUUGACAACAAUAACAACAAAAGAACCAAUGAUCAG
This 212-nucleotide long non-coding RNA is filed under the name Physcomitrium patens. Its description in RNAcentral is "long non-coding RNA (PPAT_LNC007183)". Lineage: Eukaryota; Viridiplantae; Streptophyta; Bryopsida; Funariales; Funariaceae. The record is from RNAcentral.